This 433-nucleotide ribosomal RNA is filed under the name uncultured bacterium. RNAcentral describes it as "partial 16S ribosomal RNA". It matches the Rfam family "Bacterial small subunit ribosomal RNA", at positions 29 to 507 of the family's 1533-position model. The record is from RNAcentral.
AACGAACGCUGGCGGCAUGCCUAACACAUGCAAGUCGAACGAGACCACCGGGUCUAGUGGCGCACGGGUGCGUAACGCGUGGGAACCUGCCCUUAGGUUCGGAAUAACUCUCCGAAAGGGGUGCUAACACCGGAUAAUGUCUUCGGACCAAAGAUUUAUCGCCCUUGGAUGGGCCCGCGUUGGAUUAGCUUGUUGGUAGGGUAAAAGCCUACCAAGGCGACGAUCCAUAGCUGGUCUGAGAGGAUGGUCAGCCACACUGGGACUGAGACACGGCCCAGACUCCUACGCGAGGCAGCAAUGGGGAAUAUUGGACAAUGGGCGGAAGCCUGAAGCAGCAAUGCCGCGUGAGUGAUGAAGGCCUUAGGGUAGUAAAGCUCUUUUACCCGGGAUGAUAAUGACGGUACCGGGAGAAUAAGCUCCGGCUAACUCCGUG